GACGAACGCUGGCGGCGUGCUUAACACAUGCAAGUCGAACGCUGAAGGCCUGGCUUUUGUUGGGUUGGAUGAGUGGCGAACGGGUGAGUAACACGUGAGUAACCUGCCCUCUUCUUUGGGAUAACGCCCGGAAACGGGUGCUAAUACUGGAUAUUCACUGAUCUUCGCAUGGGGGUUGGUGGAAAGGUUUGUUCUGGUGGGGGAUGGGCUCGCUGCCUAUCAGCUUGUUGGUGGGGUGAUGGCCUACCAAGGCAUUGACGGGUAGCCGGCCUGAGGGGGUGACCGGGGACGUUGAGACGGCGCUACGGCCCAGAGGACGCAGGGAGGGGGCAGUGGGGGAUAUUGCACAAUGGGCGAAAGAGGGAUGCAGCGACGGCGCGUGAGGGAUGGGGGUCGUCGGGUUGUAAUCGUCUUUCGCGAAGGGUCAAGCCGCAACAGGCUGUUGUGGUGAGGGUAGUGAGUAAAGAAGCGCCGGCUAACUACGUG
Molecule: ribosomal RNA, 486 nt
Filed under: uncultured bacterium
Lineage: Bacteria
Description: partial 16S ribosomal RNA
Rfam family: Bacterial small subunit ribosomal RNA
Source: RNAcentral